This 1675-nucleotide ribosomal RNA is filed under the name Escherichia coli. Its description in RNAcentral is "23S ribosomal RNA (partial)". It matches the Rfam family "Bacterial large subunit ribosomal RNA", at positions 1271 to 2925 of the family's 2925-position model. The record is from RNAcentral. Lineage: Bacteria; Pseudomonadati; Pseudomonadota; Gammaproteobacteria; Enterobacterales; Enterobacteriaceae.
UGCUGGAGGUAUCAGAAGUGCGAAUGCUGACAUAAGUAACGAUAAAGCGGGUGAAAAGCCCGCUCGCCGGAAGACCAAGGGUUCCUGUCCAACGUUAAUCGGGGCAGGGUGAGUCGACCCCUAAGGCGAGGCCGAAAGGCGUAGUCGAUGGGAAACAGGUUAAUAUUCCUGUACUUGGUGUUACUGCGAAGGGGGGACGGAGAAGGCUAUGUUGGCCGGGCGACGGUUGUCCCGGUUUAAGCGUGUAGGCUGGUUUUCCAGGCAAAUCCGGAAAAUCAAGGCUGAGGCGUGAUGACGAGGCACUACGGUGCUGAAGCAACAAAUGCCCUGCUUCCAGGAAAAGCCUCUAAGCAUCAGGUAACAUCAAAUCGUACCCCAAACCGACACAGGUGGUCAGGUAGAGAAUACCAAGGCGCUUGAGAGAACUCGGGUGAAGGAACUAGGCAAAAUGGUGCCGUAACUUCGGGAGAAGGCACGCUGAUAUGUAGGUGAAGCGACUUGCUCGUGGAGCUGAAAUCAGUCGAAGAUACCAGCUGGCUGCAACUGUUUAUUAAAAACACAGCACUGUGCAAACACGAAAGUGGACGUAUACGGUGUGACGCCUGCCCGGUGCCGGAAGGUUAAUUGAUGGGGUUAGCGGUAACGCGAAGCUCUUGAUCGAAGCCCCGGUAAACGGCGGCCGUAACUAUAACGGUCCUAAGGUAGCGAAAUUCCUUGUCGGGUAAGUUCCGACCUGCACGAAUGGCGUAAUGAUGGCCAGGCUGUCUCCACCCGAGACUCAGUGAAAUUGAACUCGCUGUGAAGAUGCAGUGUACCCGCGGCAAGACGGAAAGACCCCGUGAACCUUUACUAUAGCUUGACACUGAACAUUGAGCCUUGAUGUGUAGGAUAGGUGGGAGGCUUUGAAGUGUGGACGCCAGUCUGCAUGGAGCCGACCUUGAAAUACCACCCUUUAAUGUUUGAUGUUCUAACGUUGGCCCGUUAUCCGGGUUGCGGACAGUGUCUGGUGGGUAGUUUGACUGGGGCGGUCUCCUCCUAAAGAGUAACGGAGGAGCACGAAGGUUGGCUAAUCCUGGUCGGACAUCAGGAGGUUAGUGCAAUGGCAUAAGCCAGCUUGACUGCGAGCGUGACGGCGCGAGCAGGUGCGAAAGCAGGUCAUAGUGAUCCGGUGGUUCUGAAUGGAAGGGCCAUCGCUCAACGGAUAAAAGGUACUCCGGGGAUAACAGGCUGAUACCGCCCAAGAGUUCAUAUCGACGGCGGUGUUUGGCACCUCGAUGUCGGCUCAUCACAUCCUGGGGCUGAAGUAGGUCCCAAGGGUAUGGCUGUUCGCCAUUUAAAGUGGUACGCGAGCUGGGUUUAGAACGUCGUGAGACAGUUCGGUCCCUAUCUGCCGUGGGCGCUGGAGAACUGAGGGGGGCUGCUCCUAGUACGAGAGGACCGGAGUGGACGCAUCACUGGUGUUCGGGUUGUCAUGCCAAUGGCACUGCCCGGUAGCUAAAUGCGGAAGAGAUAAGUGCUGAAAGCAUCUAAGCACGAAACUUGCCCCGAGAUGAGUUCUCCCUGACUCCCUGAGAGUCCUGAAGGAACGUUGAAGACGACGACGUUGAUAGGCCGGGUGUGUAAGCGCAGCGAUGCGUUGAGCUAACCGGUACUAAUGAACCGUGAGGCUUAACCU